Eurytemora carolleeae is the source of this 432-nucleotide long non-coding RNA. RefSeq lists it as uncharacterized. The record is from RefSeq and is a predicted model, not a curated record. Lineage: Eukaryota; Metazoa; Arthropoda; Copepoda; Calanoida; Temoridae. The transcript is spliced from 3 exons.
AGGGAAAUGUAUAACACUAACCCAGGUAAAUAACAAGGGAAAUGUAUUACACUAACCCAGGUAAAUAACAAGGGAAAUGUAUAACACUAACUCAGGUAAAUAACAAGGGAAAUGUAUAACACUAACCCAGGUAAAUAACAAGGGAAAUGUAUUACAAUAACCCAGGUAAAUAACAAGGGAAAUGUAUAACACUAACCCAGGUAAAUAACAAGGGAAAUGUAUAACACUAACCCAGAUGAAUGAGGGGCUUAUUAUGUCUAACUGUAACGACUCCGACGAAAACCAGCAAUGGAUGUUUACACACUACAAUCCUAGUGGGAUAUCUUACAAAGAUCUAGCAGAGCCAGCUCAUUUAUAAUUUAAAAUAAAGUAUAUUGUUAGUGUGCAAUGUGCUGUACACUUUUGUUUUCAUGUUCAAUAAAAAAUUUUUAU